GACAGAGGGUGCAAUCGUUGCUCGGAAUUACUGGGCGUAAAGCGCGUGUAGGUGGAUUGGUGUGUCAGAUGUGAAAUCCCUGGGCUCAACCCAGGAACUGCACCUGAAACUACCAGUCUUGAGUGGUGGAGAGGGAAGUGGAAUUCCUGGUGUAGAGGUGAAAUUCGUAGAUAUCAGGAGGAACACCGGUGGCGAAGGCGGCUUCCUGGACACCAACUGACGCUGAGACGCGAAAGCGUGGGGAGCAAACAGG
This 253-nucleotide ribosomal RNA is filed under the name uncultured bacterium. RNAcentral describes it as "partial 16S ribosomal RNA". It matches the Rfam family "Bacterial small subunit ribosomal RNA", at positions 524 to 776 of the family's 1533-position model. The record is from RNAcentral.